This 1403-nucleotide long non-coding RNA is filed under the name Salmo salar (Atlantic salmon). RNAcentral describes it as "lncRNA (ENSSSAG00000107586.1)". The record is from RNAcentral. Lineage: Eukaryota; Metazoa; Chordata; Actinopteri; Salmoniformes; Salmonidae.
CCGGGAUCGAACCAGGGUCUGUAGUGACACCUCUAGCACUGAGAUGCAGUGCCUGAGCCCUCUGUGCCACUCGCGAGUUAGAGGUGUAAACUUCCAUUUCUCAAUCUAAGCUGCAUUUACAGUGUAGAUGAUGGUACAUUAGGUCACUAUUUAUUCGUAAGUGACUACAAUGACGUUUUUCUCCAUUUCAGUCUCUCUCUCUCUCUCUCCCCUCUCUCUCUGUCUCUCUCUCUCUCUCUCUCCCCUCUCUCUCUCUCUCUCUCUCCCCUCUCUCUCUCCCCCCACUCUCUCUCUCUCUCUCUCUCUCUCUCGCUCUCUCUCUCUCGCUCUCUCUCUCUCUCUCUCCCCCCUCCCCCCUCUCUCCCUCUCUCCCCCUCCCCCUCUCUCUGUCUCUCGCUCUCUCUGCUGUUUUCAUAAUAAACAACCAAGUGUUUUUUUUAAGCCGUCUUUGAGUCUUCUUGACGGUAUGUGAUUCGCUCCAAGCUAAGAUAUUAACUAUUUUGGCAACAUAAAAAAAAAACUUUGAAACAAAAUUAAUGGGAGCGUCCUUAGACGUUCAUCUCAUUGCAUUAGACCUAUUCAUGUUGGAUCUUUUCGAUACUACCAGUAUAUUAAUUGAUUACAGCAUAUCGUCAUGGAACCAGGAUAUCAAGUUUUAUGUGUAAUUAAACAGUAAUCCCAUCAGGUUUUAUGUGUAAUGUAACAGUAAUCUCAUCAGGUUUUAUGUGUAAUUAAACAGUAAUCCCAUCAGGUUUUAUGUGUAAUUAAAUAGUAAUCUCAUCAGGUUCUAUGUGUAAUUAAAUAGUAAUCUCAUCAGGUUUUGUGUAAUGUAACAGUAAUCCCAUCAGGUUGUAUGUGUAAUUAAACAGUAAUCUCAUCAGGUUGUAUGUGUAACUAAACAGUAAUCCCAUCAGGUUUUAUGUGUAAUUAAACAGUAAUCCCAUCAGGUUUCAUGUGUAAUUAAAUAGUAAUCCCAUCAGGUUUUAUGUGUAAUUAAAUAGUAAUCUCAUCAGGUUUUGUGUAAUGUAACAGUAAUCUCAUCAGGUUUUAUGUGUAAUUAAACAGUAAUCUCAUCAAGUUGUAUGUUUAAUUAAACAGUAAUCCCAUCAGGUUUUAUGUGUAAUUAAACAGUAAUUCCAUUGUAUCUCCUCGUCGUACAAGAUUUAUACAUAUGUCAAACAAAAGAUUUUACAAAGAAUCUUGAAAAUACUAAAGGCAAGUGAUUUAGCAUGGGCUGAAGGAGGCUUUGUAGCCGUCUGGGUUUAGAAAGGUAGAAAGAUGUGCUUGAUUUAGAAACUGCCGUUUUAAAAAGUGCCAGUGAUGCUUACCUGUGCAUUCAGGUGUUCUAGAAUGUCUUCAUUCAGGUGUUCUAGAAUGUCUGCAUUCAGGUGUGUGUCAUUCAG